GCGCCCUAAGCGCUUGCGCGCUAGGCGGCGGACUCUUAAUCCGUUGGUUCGGGGUUCGAGUCCCUGAUGGCCCACCA
RNAcentral lists this transfer RNA (77 nucleotides) under Acidithiobacillales bacterium SM23_46. RNAcentral's name for it is "tRNA-Lys". It matches the Rfam family "tRNA". Rfam says of the family: Transfer RNA (tRNA) molecules are approximately 80 nucleotides in length. Their secondary structure includes four short double-helical elements and three loops (D, anti-codon, and T loops). Further hydrogen bonds mediate the characteristic L-shaped molecular structure. tRNAs have two regions of fundamental functional importance: the anti-codon, which is responsible for specific mRNA codon recognition, and the 3' end, to which the tRNAs corresponding amino acid is attached (by aminoacyl-tRNA synthetases). tRNAs cope with the degeneracy of the genetic code in two manners: having more than one tRNA (with a specific anti-codon) for a particular amino acid; and 'wobble' base-pairing, i.e. permitting non-standard base-pairing at the 3rd anti-codon position. Lineage: Bacteria; Pseudomonadati; Pseudomonadota; Acidithiobacillia; Acidithiobacillales. The record is from RNAcentral.